This 389-nucleotide long non-coding RNA is filed under the name Mytilus galloprovincialis (Mediterranean mussel). Lineage: Eukaryota; Metazoa; Mollusca; Bivalvia; Mytilida; Mytilidae. The record is from RNAcentral.
CUACAUUCUGAUGGAUUUGUGAUGUGAUUGUAGAUUAAAUAUUAGCUUUUGAAAACAUUUUGUAAACUCUAGAACAUGGUCAAAAAGUGUUGACCAUUAAGUGACUUUCGAUGUAUUACCUUAAUUUAUAUUAUGAGGAUCGAAAGGGAAAAUGUUUUUGUGAUCGGUGAAUAUUUCAACACAAUUUAAGUUUGUGUCAAAAAUUGUACUCGUAAAAAUUCACUAUGAUUGUACAUAAGAUAUUUCAUCCCAUAACAAUCCAAAUUUAAGGGAUGCACAAAUUAUUGGAUGCAUUAAUUACGCAAUUGUAUGUGUAACCAUUCUUCAAAUGUUUACUUAGUCAGGUCAUGGUCCCGGCAAAAACUAAAAUAAAUUGAAGUCCAUCGGCA